CCUACGGGAGGCAGCAGUGAGGAAUAUUGGUCAAUGGACGAGAGUCUGAACCAGCCAAGUAGCGUGAAGGAUGACUACCCUAUGGGUUGUAAACUUCUUUUAUAUGGGAAUAAAAUGUUCCACGUGUGGGAUUUUGUAUGUACCAUAUGAAUAAGGAUCGGCUAACUCCGUGCCAGCAGCCGCGGUAAUACGGAGGAUCCGAGCGUUAUCCGGAUUUAUUGGGUUUAAAGGGAGCGUAGGUGGAUUGUUAAGUCAGUUGUGAAAGUUUGCGGCUCAACCGUAAAAUUGCAGUUGAAACUGGCAGUCUUGAGUACAGUAGAGGUAGGCGGAAUGCGUGGUGUAGCGGUGAAAUGCUUAGAUAUCACGAAGAACUCCGAUUGCGAAGGCAGCUCACUGGGCUGUAACUGACACUGAGGCUCGAAAGUGUGGGGAUCAAACAGGAUUAGAUACCCCGGUAGUC
RNAcentral lists this ribosomal RNA (460 nucleotides) under uncultured bacterium. RNAcentral describes it as "partial 16S ribosomal RNA". It matches the Rfam family "Bacterial small subunit ribosomal RNA", at positions 338 to 795 of the family's 1533-position model. The record is from RNAcentral.